RNAcentral lists this long non-coding RNA (1152 nucleotides) under Marmota monax (woodchuck). The record is from RNAcentral. Lineage: Eukaryota; Metazoa; Chordata; Mammalia; Rodentia; Sciuridae.
UGCCUCGUGCCUCUUACAUGUCCUCUUUCCAGCAGGCUGAGUGAUGGAUUCCAGAGCCAGGAAGACCAGGUUUUAAUCUUGACUUGGCCACGUGGGAGCCAUGGAACCUUGGACAGAUACUCUAAUAUUUGCAUCUCAAUUUCUUCUUCUGUAUAUUGGGGAUACACAGAAUUAUUACAAUUGUUUCAUUUGUUAUUCAACCUUCACACAUUCGUUGAGGGCAUUAUUUUACAUACCAGGCACUAAAGACACAGAGAGGAACUACAACUCAUCCCCACAUCAAGUAGGUAAUAUUUUUUUAGAUAAAAAACAAUGUGAAAUCACCAAGCCAAAGAUUAAACACUCAGAAUAUAGUGGAAAUAAGGGAAUUUUAAGUUCAGAGACACUGUUGAUUCCCAGCCCUGGCAUUGAAGGUUCUGGGCAGGUUCUCAUACAUUCCGGUCAUCAGCUCCUUCAUCUGUACAACAAGCUUUAACUAGAUGAAUUUUUUUAAUUGUUGGCAUUUUAUUAUUGUGUAAACUUAUCAAUUUAGAAAUUAAAAAAAUAAAUUAGUGGCUUUGGUAAUUAGUGCCAUAUAAUUAAACCAAAUGGGUACCCGGAGGCACUUAGGAUUCUAUCCUGGAUACUUUGUAUCAAAGACAUUUUGAAGGGUCCUGGCACUCCUGGGGAAAAGCCUGAAUUUUAUAUCUAUAGACUUGGAAUCCAAUCCUAGUGCUACCACUUAACUGGCUGAGUAUCUCUGAGCCAGUCAUCUGUAUCUCUUGAGUUACCAUUGCCCAUGAUAAAAUUUGGAGAAAAAUAUACUUUGCAGUGUUGUGAGCAUUAGAGAUUGCAGCCAGGUGCAGUGGUACAUACCUAUGGUCCCAGCAACCUGGGAGGCUGAGGCAGGAGGAUCAAUCACUAAGCCCAGGAGUUUAGGGCCAUCAUAGGUGACAUAUUGCAACCUUUUUUCUUAAAAAAAAAUAAAAGAAAUUAGAGACUGCUUCGGUGAAUGCCUGACAGUCAUUCCUCACUAUUACAUGGUCUAUGAUCUGGCAGACUGUCCCUUGAUGGCAGGUUCUGCAUCUGUUUCUUUGGUCUCUGUAGGGCUUCGUACAGGACCAGGCAGGGAACAGAAUUUCAGUGUCUACUGAAUGAAUGAACAAAUGAGUA